AAGAGUUUGAUCAUGGCUCAGAUUGAACGCUGGCGGCAGGCCUAACACAUGCAAGUCGAACGGUAACAGGAAGCAGCUUGCUGCUUCGCUGACGAGUGGCGGACGGGUGAGUAAUGUCUGGGAAACUGCCUGAUGGAGGGGGAUAACUACUGGAAACGGUGGCUAAUACCGCAUAACGUCGCAAGACCAAAGAGGGGGACCUUCGGGCCUCUUGCCAUCAGAUGUGCCCAGAUGGGAUUAGCUUGUUGGUGAGGUAACGGCUCACCAAGGCGACGAUCCCUAGCUGGUCUGAGAGGAUGACCAGCCACACUGGAACUGAGACACGGUCCAGACUCCUACGGGAGGCAGCAGUGGGGAAUAUUGCACAAUGGGCGCAAGCCUGAUGCAGCCAUGCCGCGUGUAUGAAGAAGGCCUUCGGGUUGUAAAGUA
RNAcentral lists this ribosomal RNA (429 nucleotides) under Salmonella enterica. RNAcentral's name for it is "bacterial SSU rRNA". It matches the Rfam family "Bacterial small subunit ribosomal RNA", at positions 1 to 432 of the family's 1533-position model. The record is from RNAcentral. Lineage: Bacteria; Pseudomonadati; Pseudomonadota; Gammaproteobacteria; Enterobacterales; Enterobacteriaceae.